GGGUGAGUAACACGUAUGCAACCUGCCCCUGUCAGGGGGACACCCCGCCGAAAGGCGGGCUAAACCCGCGUACAUGCCACCGGGGCAUCCCGGAGGCAGGAACGGCUUCGGCCGGACAGGGAUGGGCAUGCGGCGCAUUAGGCAGUAGGCGGGGUAACGGCCCACCUAACCGACGAUGCGUAGGGGUUCUGAGAGGAAGGUCCCCCACACUGGUACUGAGACACGGACCAGACUCCUACGGGAGGCAGCAGUGAGGAAUAUUGGUCAAUGGUCGGGAGACUGAACCAGCCAAGCCGCGUGAGGGAUGAAGGUACAGAGUAUCGUAAACCUCUUUUGUCAGGGAACAAAGGCGGGGACGUGUCCCCGGAUGAGUGUACCUGAAGAAAAAGCAUCGGCUAACUCCGUGCCAGCAGCCGCGGUAAUACGGAGGAUGCGAGCGUUAUCCGGAUUUAUUGGGUUUAAAGGGUGCGCAGGCGGUCUGUUAAGUCAGCGGUCAAAGCCCGGGGCUCAACCCCGGCCCGCCGUUGAAACUGGCAGUCUCGAGUUGGAGAGAAGUAUGCGGAAUGCGCGGUGUAGCGGUGAAAUGCAUAGAUAUCGCGCAGAACUCCGAUUGCGAAGGCAGCAUGCCGGCUCCACACUGACGCUGAGGCACGAAAGCGUGGGUAUCGAACAGGAUUAGAUACCCUGGUAGUCCACGCAGUAA
RNAcentral lists this ribosomal RNA (703 nucleotides) under uncultured bacterium. Its description in RNAcentral is "bacterial SSU rRNA". It matches the Rfam family "Bacterial small subunit ribosomal RNA", at positions 104 to 805 of the family's 1533-position model. The record is from RNAcentral.